UACGUAGGGUGCAAGCGUUAAUCGGAAUUACUGGGCGUAAAGGGCGCGUAGGCGGAUAGUUUAGUCAGAGGUGAAAGCCCAGGGCUCAACCCUGGAAUUGCCUUUGAUACUGGCUAUCUUGAGUUCGGGAGAGGUGAGUGGAACUCCGAGUGUAGAGGUGAAAUUCGUAGAUAUUCGGAAGAACACCAGUGGCGAAAGCGGCUUCCUGGUCCAGCACCGACGUUCAGGCACGAAAGCGUGGGGAGCAAACAGG
This 253-nucleotide ribosomal RNA is filed under the name uncultured bacterium. Its description in RNAcentral is "partial 16S ribosomal RNA". It matches the Rfam family "Bacterial small subunit ribosomal RNA", at positions 524 to 776 of the family's 1533-position model. The record is from RNAcentral.